Molecule: ribosomal RNA, 482 nt
Filed under: uncultured bacterium
Lineage: Bacteria
Description: partial 16S ribosomal RNA
Rfam family: Bacterial small subunit ribosomal RNA
Source: RNAcentral
ACUCAAAUGAAUUGACGGGGAGGCGCACAAGCAGUGGAGCAUGUGGUUUAAUUCGAUACGAAGCGAAAAACCUCACCAGGGUUUGACAUGUACUUGCAAAUCCCGUGAAAGCGGGACUCCUUCGAGGGUAGUACACAGAUGUUGCAUGGCUGUCGUAAGUUCGUGGCGUGAGCUGUCCUCUUUAGUGAGCUAACGAACGAAACCCGCACCGUAUGUUAAAUAUUCAUGCGGAACUGCCCCCUUUUGGGGGAGGAAGGCGCGGAUGACGUCAAGUCCGCACGACUCUUACACCCUGGGCUACACACAUCCUACAAUGGCGAACAACAACGAGUUGCAAGCGGGUGACCGCAAGCUAAUCUCUGAAAUUUCGCCUCAGUUCAGAUCGGAGUCUGCAAUUCGACUCCGUGAAGCCGGAAUUGCUAGUAAUCGCGAAUCAGAAGGUCGCGGUGAAUACGUUCUCGCCUCUUGUACACACCGCCCGU